This 497-nucleotide ribosomal RNA is filed under the name uncultured bacterium. RNAcentral describes it as "partial 16S ribosomal RNA". It matches the Rfam family "Bacterial small subunit ribosomal RNA", at positions 28 to 507 of the family's 1533-position model. The record is from RNAcentral.
GACGAACGCUGGCGGCGUGCCUAAUACAUGCAAGUAGAACGCUGAAGAGAGGAGCUUGCUCUUCUUGGAUGAGUUGCGAACGGGUGAGUAACGCGUAGGUAACCUGCCUUGUAGCGGGGGAUAACUAUUGGAAACGAUAGCUAAUACCGCAUAACAAUGGAUGACACAUGUCAUUUAUUUGAAAGGGGCAAUUGCUCCACUACAAGAUGGACCUGCGUUGUAUUAGCUAGUAGGUGAGGUAAUGGCUCACCUAGGCGACGAUACAUAGCCGACCUGAGAGGGUGAUCGGCCACACUGGGACUGAGACACGGCCCAGACUCAUACGGGAGGCAGCAGUAGGGAAUCUUCGGCAAUGGGGGCAACACUGACCGAGCAACGCCGCGUGAGUGAAGAAGGUUUUCGGAUCGUAAAGCUAUGUUGUAAGUCAAGAACGGGUGUGAGAGUGGAAAGUUCACACUGUGACGGUAGCUUACCAGAAAGGGACGGCUAACUACGUG